AUGGCGCCUCCCGCCGCCGGCGACACCCCACCUCCUCCUCCUCCUCUGGCCGCAGAGAGCAGCGCCAGCACCGAGGAGGAGUCGCGGUGGCUGGCGGCCCUCUCCGAGCCCGAGCUCGAUUUGCUCAUCAGCCUCAAGUUGCUGGCCGUGAAGCGGGCCGAGACGGCCGGCCGCCCCCACCUCGCCGACGCGUUCGAUCUGCGCACCCUGCGGGCCCUCGGUGUUGUUUUGCUGGAAGAUUUCAAGCACCGGCUAAGAGAAGAAACCUCCCUUGAUGCAACCGUUCUUGAUAGACUUGCGCUAUCAAGGGAUCCUGUUACGGAUGUUGGUGUCGGUUGUAGCAGCAGUGAUUCCGAGGUGUUCAGGCGGCGCAGCAAAGAUCAGCCAAUAAAGCCAAGCGGUGUCAAGAGGAAACGAAAGCAGACGCAUGAUGGGCGUCAUGGAGAGGCUGUCAAAAUGAACAAGAAAAGAAGAAAAACGAGCGGGAGGAGAUAG
RNAcentral lists this ribosomal RNA (495 nucleotides) under Triticum aestivum (bread wheat). RNAcentral describes it as "partial small subunit ribosomal RNA". The record is from RNAcentral. Lineage: Eukaryota; Viridiplantae; Streptophyta; Magnoliopsida; Poales; Poaceae.